UUUUUUUUCACUUUUUUGUUCUUUUUGAAUUGUCAUUAUUAUUGGAAUAGUCUAACCUUAUGUUAUAUGUAUAUCGAGGUUUAUGAUUAGAUUUGGAUAACUAAGAAUCCUAAUCUAACUUCUAACCAUAAGUCACAUUGAGUUUUGUGAUUAAAUUUAAUUACGUAGUUGUACCUAAUCUGUCCAGUUAACACGGCCAAAUAUGAGAUGAGGGUAUCACACUUUUACACGUUUAUUGUCCUCUAUUUAACACAAGAUUUAUAACUUUUUUUUUUUUUUGCGUGGAUUGGCCUUAUUUUGGGGUGGUCUUUAAUUUUUGCCCUCAAAUUACUGGUCUUUAAUUUUUACCCUUCGCUUAAAAAGGUGACAGAAAAUAUCCUGAGGUUUUGAAUUCGAAACCCCGCUUAGUAAAAAAAAAAAAUCGCAAGGCAAGGUUUUUGCAAAAAGUCUGCCUUAUGCGGCAGACUUUGUCUUAAGGCAUAACUGAAAGUUUGCCUUACAAGGCAAAGUCUGUCGUCUCAGGCAUAAGUUCUAUGUAACUUCGCCUGAAUAGACAUAGGUUCGACUUUACUGGGUUUCGAACCUAGAACCUCGGGGUAUUUUCGGCCACCUUCUUAAGCGAAGGACAAAAAUUAAAGACCAGUCCGUAUGAAGGGCAAUCAUGCAAAUUACCCGAUUCAUAAGGAUUUGUUCAAUUGAUGGUAUGAAAUAAUUGACAACAUAAAAUCCUGCAUAAGAUAAUAUAUUAUUUGGAUGGAUGUGUAACAAAAAAUUAUUGGUCACAUAACUAAAAUAUUAUGGGGGAUAGAAUGUGGAUAAGAACGCAUAUAUUGAUAAUUCGGAGAUUAAAUUAUUUAAAAACAAAUAUAUUCUUUUAAAACAAUUAAUUCACGUAUAAUGAAUGAUAAUCGCUGCAUAACAAUACUUCAUUAGAGAUCUUUUUAAUCUCAACAAAUGUGUGUGUGUUGGGUUUUUGGUGAGGGGGGUUUGUAUAGUUAGGGGCAGUGGAUUGAUUUGGGUCCAUUCCAUUUAUGUGUAUUGAAAGCUACUCACUGCUAAGUAUUCUUGUCUAGCUUUUAACAAACUCUGGAAUGUGAAGUGUUAUGGGAUUUGUCCAAAUGCAGAGUUACAAAAUUUUUGCCAUUCUAAGACAGAAAAAGCUUGCUAGGUCAAGUCAAUGAGAAAAAUAUUGAGGGCAAAUUACUACUUAUUAUGUAUUGAAAAACUUUAGGUGUCUGGCACAAUAUGCGGUGUUCGUUACAUUAACUAACCAUUCAGUGGACAAAAGGAAUAAGAUUACUUUUCGAAAUCGUCUUAGAUAAAUCUACAGAAUUCAACAAAGUGCUAGUACUUUUAAUUUUUUUAUUUGUAUUUCACGUGUUUAUUCGAUUUUAAGCUAUAUCCAUUAAAAAUGUAAAAUUAUUUAAAAUUGAGUUAUUAUAACUUACUUUUCAAAUGAUUUGGUUGAAAAAAAUUUGUUACACACGUUGACUAACAAAACAGACGCCCAACAAAUGGGAAUACACUGGGAAUGUUUUUUUUUUUUUUUUUUGGAUUAAGUAGCCAUCUCCAAUCCAAGGAGCAUGACUUGCUUUUAUUCAUAACAUCAAUGGUCCAAAAGAAAAGGGAUAGCAACCCCCUUCACCUACUUUGAUGGAACAGGCUCCAUCUCAUCUAAGUAGGAUUUCAAAAAAAUGUAAUCUAAGUUUGGGGAGAUGACUCAUCUUCUCAAUCCUAUCAGCAAAAAGAGAUCAAGAUACAUCGAACAGAUAAUUUUUAUACAUUGUUCUAUGCACAUAAAAUGAGUUUUUAACAGUAGACUUUCGGAAAGAGGGUAGUUUCAUCUAGUCCACCUUGACCUCUUCUCUAGUAUUUUUUUAUAGCUCCUGAAAGCUGUUCAUCCAUAAAUUGCCUCCACAGCUCAGACCCCAAUUAGUCAAGCUAUCAGCAGCUCUAUUACAUUCACUAAAACAGAUCUUUUUUUUUUAUAUAUAGUUUUCUCUUAUAUGGAUUCAAGAUUAUGCUGGAUAUGCUCUAUGAUAUUCACCAAGAUCCGUGGAGGCUUGGACUUAUUUAGUAUCCAAUCCACCAACAAUAUCACUUUCAAUCUCCAAGCUGUUUACAUCAUUAGUCAUACACCACUCAAUUCCCAUUUUCAGUGAUAAGGCUUGUGCCAUAUUGUUCGUAAUGUUUCCCAAAUAAAAAGCAUAAGUUGUGAUUAAAUCAUCUCUUUGGUCUCUAAUUAAACCACCAGCCCCACUUGGACCUGGAUUUUAUUUGGAGCAACUAUCAGAGUUCAUUUUCCAUGUGCCAGGUGCAGGAAAAAUCCACCUUACAUCAACAGUGCUGAUCAAGGGUUGUGCAUGUUCACUGAUCUCCAGAAACUUGCUCCAUUCCAUAAAAGGUGGAAUGGUCUUGAAUUGCUUAUGUGUAAUCAUGAUUGUCUUCUUGAUGAGGAUUAUCCACUCCAAAAAUGGCACCAAUUGGUUUGAAAAUUUAUUUUGGUGGAGCACUUUGUAUACGGUAAAAACCGGAUGCGAGGCAAACCGGUGGAGCGAGGGGGCCGACUGAUCUGCCUUCUUCGUCAUUCGAACGACCAAGCCCGGUAACCCGAGCUUUCGCGGCUGUUGGUCCGAGUAGCCGUUGGUCCAUGUGCCGUUGGUCCGAGUAGCCGUUGGUCCGUGUGGCCGUUGGUACGAGUAGCCGUUGGUCCGUGUGGCCGUUGGUCCGAGUAGUCGUUGGUCCGGGUGGCCGUUGCACGCGGGUCAAGCGCCAGUAACGUCCUGUCCUGAUCAACUACCCACCAUGCGUGUGUCAGACGGCGCCGUCAGUCUAAUCCCACCAAAUCCGUGCAGAGUUGUCCUUAUUGCUAUUAUUUUAUUAGCUCACAUCAUAUGAGACCCAUGGAGGUCACACUAUAAAUAGAGCACAUCCCCCUCCUUUGUAAGGGCUGGCUCCCUGGGAUCAACAACAUUUUUGUACUAGAAGAUAUAUACAAAUCUCUCUCUCAAUAUUAGAUUUUGGUCCGGAAUCAUUGUGUUCA
Molecule: long non-coding RNA, 3043 nt
Organism: Lycium barbarum (goji berry)
Lineage: Eukaryota; Viridiplantae; Streptophyta; Magnoliopsida; Solanales; Solanaceae
Exons: 2
Source: RefSeq, a predicted model, not a curated record